RNAcentral lists this ribosomal RNA (508 nucleotides) under uncultured bacterium. RNAcentral's name for it is "partial 16S ribosomal RNA". It matches the Rfam family "Bacterial small subunit ribosomal RNA", at positions 29 to 523 of the family's 1533-position model. The record is from RNAcentral.
AACGAACGCUGGCGGCAUGCCUUACACAUGCAAGUCGAACGGCAGCGGGGGAGAAGCUUGCUUUUCCUGCCGGCGAGUGGCGAACGGGUGAGUAAUACAUCGGAACGUGCCCUGUAGUGGGGGAUAACUAGUCGAAAGAUUAGCUAAUACCGCAUACGACCUGAGGGUGAAAGUGGGGGACCGCAAGGCCUCAUGCUAUAGGAGCGGCCGAUGUCUGAUUAGCUAGUUGGUGGGGUAAAGGCCUACCAAGGCGACGAUCAGUAGCUGGUCUGAGAGGACGAUCAGCCAAACUGGGACUGAGACACGGCCCAGACUCCUACGGGAGGCAGCAGUGGGGAAUUUUGGACAAUGGGCGAAAGCCUGAUCCAGCAAUGCCGCGUGUGUGAAGAAGGCCUUCGGGUUGUAAAGCACUUUUGUCCGGAAAGAAAUGGCUCUGGUUAAUACCUGGGGUCGAUGACGGUACCGGAAGAAUAAGGACCGGCUAACUACGUGCCAGCCGCCGCCGUAA